RNAcentral lists this ribosomal RNA (436 nucleotides) under Klebsiella pneumoniae. Its description in RNAcentral is "bacterial SSU rRNA". It matches the Rfam family "Bacterial small subunit ribosomal RNA", at positions 338 to 787 of the family's 1533-position model. The record is from RNAcentral. Lineage: Bacteria; Pseudomonadati; Pseudomonadota; Gammaproteobacteria; Enterobacterales; Enterobacteriaceae.
CCUACGGGUGGCUGCAGUGAGGAAUUUUCCGCAAUGGGCGAAAGCCUGACGGAGCAAUACCGCGUGAGGGAAGACGGCCUAUGGGUUGUAAACCUCUUUUUUCAGGGAGGAACAAAAUGACGUGUACCUGAAGAAUAAGCAUCGGCUAACUCCGUGCCAGCAGCCGCGGUAAGACGGAGGAUGCAAGUGUUAUCCGGAAUCACUGGGCGUAAAGCGUCUGUAGGUGGUUUGUUAAGUCAACUGUUAAAUCUUGAGGCUCAACUUCAAAUCAGCAGUCGAAACUAUCAGACUAGAGUAUAGUAGGGGUAAAGGGAAUUUCCAGUGGAGCGGUGAAAUGCGUAGAUAUUGGAAAGAACACCGAUGGCGAAGGCACUUUACUGGGCUAUUACUAACACUCAGAGACGAAAGCUAGGGUAGCAAAUGGGAUUAGAUACCC